Non-coding RNA from Cinara cedri, 897 nucleotides. NCBI's taxonomy places the organism in Eukaryota, Metazoa, Arthropoda, Insecta, Hemiptera, Aphididae. The record is from the annotation of a GenBank genome assembly.
UGAAUAUUAUGCACCAUCACUGACAAAAUGUGUUAAGGUACGAUAAUGUACCAACAUCCAGUUUAUAUUAAUAUUUAAUUUUUAAAAAAUAAUAAAUUAAUAUUUUUAAUAAUAAAUAAUUUACCGCUAUUAUCGAAGCGCUCACGUUAAUCCUUUCCACUAAAUAAUUUUUAAUCGUAUCUGAUUCUAUGUCUUGUCUUCAGUCUCUAACUUCGCUCCCCUUUAAAUCUCAUGGAUCUCCUCUUGUUCUUCAAAUCAAAUCCAUCCUGUUUUAACUUUAUCAAAAAAAUGUUAUUAUUCAGUCUCUCUGGGUUCUUAGCCACGUAGGUAUCCACGGUAACGAGAUAGCUGAUAGCUUGGCCAAAUCCUCGUCGAACUUAUUAAACCCAUCCCUUUCUUUGAUCCCCUGGUCAGAUCUUAUACAUAUUUUUCAAUGGUAUGUUCUUACACUCUAGUCUACCCAUUGGAACAGACUACCUGUAACCUUUAACUCUAAAUUCAAAUCCAUAGUCCCCGUCAUUUUAAAUAAUAUUUGGUUUAAGGAUCUUAACUUAUCAAGAUCUUAAAUUAUCAAAUUUAAUCGACUACAUGUGCGCCAUUAUCUUCUUCCCUUCCAUUCUUAUAAGGUCAAUCUUAACGAUUCCUUUUUCUACACACUCCAUUUAGAUUGAAGCAUUUGUGACUUACACAAUAUUCUUUUGGAUUGUCCAUUUUUAUUCAACGCCUUUUUCUUUUUAGUUCUAUUAUGUUCCUCAACAUUCCUUUUAACAUCUCCAACAUUUUAAAAUCAAAUCCCAAGUCUGUUAUUCUUCUUAUUAUUUCCUUCACCCGUGAGGCUGGCUUUAUUAUUUAAAGAUUUGUAAUUGUUUAUUUCUGUAUCAUUGUUUUUUAUCUAUG